Non-coding RNA from Chiloscyllium plagiosum (whitespotted bambooshark), 676 nucleotides. The record is from RefSeq and is a predicted model, not a curated record. Lineage: Eukaryota; Metazoa; Chordata; Chondrichthyes; Orectolobiformes; Hemiscylliidae.
AUUGGCCCUUUGCUAUUCUAGCAGGCACAUUUUGUUUCUGCAUUUUUUAAAUCUCAGUCAGACAGACUGCAAUAUUUUAGAUCAUCCUGAACCUGCAGCCGAUUAAUUUUCUCUCUUUAAUUCGUCUGUUAACGUUAAAGCGAUGACAGCUUUACCCCCCGCUGCACUUCCCUCCAGAGUUUAAAGAGUCCGCGAAUUUAAAACAACUGAGGGCUGCAUUUGAGCAGUUGUGAAAUUAUCAAAUGAAACAGACACCGAAAGGUCUUUGGGAAGCCCAUUUUACCAUCCAAAACACAUACAUUCGUUCCACAGUUUCAAAAUCACAUUAUCAUUCCGGAUCCUUCUUUUUAAUGUUAGUGUCAAUUACCUCCAUGUGUAUCAGCAGCUUAACCAGUAGAUCUUCCUGUUCAGACUUUGCAGUUGUGGUCUGGUAUCUUCUAACCUGAACUAACUUCCCACUCUAACUCUAUGCAGGUCCAUUGCAGAACAAUACGAAUGUCCUGCGACCAAGAAAAGACUCGACCUUGUGCUACUUAAUUGUGUGAAGCUGAGAAAGGUCUUUCGGCGAGAGACCCAAAGCAUUGACCCGCAUAUCUCCUGCAGACACUUCAUUCACACAGCUCGACUUACAGUCGCCCGAAUCUCUAUUGUCUCGCUACAACAAUGUAUAGAUUUU